UCUCUAAUUGCCUUUAUGACAUCUUGGA
Molecule: non-coding RNA, 28 nt
Filed under: Mus musculus (house mouse)
Lineage: Eukaryota; Metazoa; Chordata; Mammalia; Rodentia; Muridae
Source: RNAcentral